This 401-nucleotide long non-coding RNA is filed under the name Equus asinus (donkey). Its description in RNAcentral is "lncRNA (ENSEASG00005026182.1)". The record is from RNAcentral. Lineage: Eukaryota; Metazoa; Chordata; Mammalia; Perissodactyla; Equidae.
GGGGGUGUGCUCGGAAAAUGCAGGAGCUUCAGAGCAGAGACCAGAGCCCAGAAAGGAGCAGAUGCUAGAUUUGCAAGAUCAGAAGCAGGUCUUGAUCCUCCUGCCCAGAAUGAACCAGACUUGAUGAUGAUGCCACCUUCAGGAGCCACCACACUGUGUGACAGUGGGGCAUUUGGGCCGUCCCUGGGAAGUACAGAUGCGCUGCUGUCACACAUGUCCACCACCACAUGUGACAUUAGUGACGUUAUCCUGAUGUCACAGGAUCCAAGAAUGAUGAUCUGUGAAGAGUUUUCCAAGGUCACCUACUUCUAACUCUUUUGAAAGAUUUAAAGACAUUGGGCCUGAAAAUUUCAGUGACUUGUCCAGGGAAACGCAGUUUGUGACAGUUCACUCUCUCACAG